Molecule: long non-coding RNA, 2560 nt
Filed under: Mytilus galloprovincialis (Mediterranean mussel)
Lineage: Eukaryota; Metazoa; Mollusca; Bivalvia; Mytilida; Mytilidae
Source: RNAcentral
ACUGUAUUUCAGGUUUUUAUGCAUGCAUUUAUUUUAUAAAAAAUAUUGGACAACUGGCAGUAUAGGAAUUUGAUGCAAAAGCUGUUAAUUUGAAGUAUACUGCUACAUUUAUAGCAAGAUUAAUGUGAAUUUUAAUUAUUGCUUUAUAUGUGUUCAUCUAUCACAGUUUAGCAGCAUUGUUGAAUGUAUGAACCAAGGCCAACAAGGUCAGACUUGGUAUUGUACUCAAUUGUGCUUAAGGAGACUCGAGGGUACAAAAAUUCAGCAAAAAUUAAAACAUUUCUUUUUUCAUUACAAAUUUUAUUUAUUACACUAACUAGUUGUUACUUUGAGAUAAGGUACGAAAAUCAACCAAAAAAUCUAUUCGUUUUGGCCCCAGAUGACUUUAAAAUGUUUAUAUCAUUGAAAAAGCUCCAAGUUAUCUUCCUUUGGUGAAUAAAUGCCAUUUUUUUGCAUAAGAAUUGAAAUAACUUGUUUAACUCAUCGGUGACCUAUAUUUUUUUUAUUUUUUUUUUCAAAUAAACUGUACUUUAACUAAACUAUUGUAAAAUUUUAGUGAUUUCUGUAAUUUAGUUCUUUUUUAUUUCGAUAUUACCUUUUUUCUCCUAUUAGUUCAACAGAAUAAAAGUUUUGCAAAAACUGGAUAGUCGAAAUGAAAUUUUACUAGUCUGGGGCAUUGGACUAGUUGCUAACCAAGCAGAGUGAAGUUUAUUUAUAGAAAAAAAAUUAGCAAAAUCGUAUGUUUAAAAAUAAAAUGAUUUAUACCUGUGGGCCCCCUUCAAUUUAAUUUUGGGCCUCUUUUAGUUGGAAAUUCAUUUUUUUGUGAAACUGAUGAAACCAUAAUUUUUCAAUGCAAAAAGGUGAUUAAGAUUGAUUAUUCUUUAUGUGUCAUAUAAGUUAAUUUACCAAUUGCUUGCUUGCUCCAAUAAGAAAUUUUGCUUGAAGUAGAUAUAUAAUAUUCUAAUUUUGAAAAUAGCUGCAUUGUUUUGGUGCUAUAAAUUGUUUUGACAUCACUAGUUUAUUCUUCAUAGUGUGUUCUGUUAUUUGUUUGUGUAUAAAGCAUUACGUUUUUUUUUUGACAUACUCACCUUACUAUUGAUUAAUUAUAUUGGGAAUGGAUUUUGUCUCGCCUUGAAAAAGUCGUGGAAGCUUUUGUUUUUUUUGGCAGUGCCAACAAAUUGUUAAGUUUGUGAUAAUCUAAUUUCAAGGAAAUGUAUGAGAUUUGGCACAUCUCAUUUUAUAUAAAAAAAAAUCUGGCACUGUACAUUGUACGCUUCUCAUGAUAGGGGGAGGGUUGAGAUCUCAUAAACAUGUUUAACUCCGCCACAUUUUUGCGCCUGUCCCAAGUCAGGAUCUGGCCUUUGUUAGUCUUGUAUUAUUUUAAUUUUAGUUUCUUGUGUACAAUUUGGAAAUUAGUAUGGCGUUCAUUAUCACUGAACUAGUAUAUAUUUGUUUAGGGGCCAGCUGAAGGACGCCUCCGAGUGAGGGAAUUUCUUGCUACAUUGAAGACCUGUUGGCGACCUUCUGCUGUUGUUUUUUUCUAUGGUCCGGGUUGUUGUCUCUUUGACACAUUUCCCAUAUCCAUUCUCAAUUUUACUGAUUGAAACUUUUGUUAGUUUACAUUUUACAUAUUAGAGUUUAUGAUUAGGUCUGGUUAAAGGGAACCAAUGGUACUAGGUCAAUACUGAAUGUAACCUUUAUGGUUUCCCACGUGUGAACCAUGAUUCAAAUAUAGAUAUGGUUUAAUUAGAUUUGAUUUCAUUGAAGGUUCUCUCAGUUUCAAGGAUUUAAAACUUAAAUGGCAUAAAACAAAAUUAUUUUUUACCCAAUUUAAUAGAAUUUUAUAUCUCAUUCUAAGGGUUAGUGCUAUCUAUAUAUAUUGGGAUCACAUUUACAAAGUUCAUUUAUGUUUUUAAAAAGAAUCUUUUUACACAUAAAGUGAUUUUUUAAGGAUCACCACUUAGUGGUCAGAGCUAAUAAUGUGGCCAACCCAUGCCAAUCAUUCAAUUUUUUUUUUUUGGGGGGGUGGGGCAUUAUAUGGUUAUACAUAUUGAUUUUUACCUAAAUCUAUAUGGGUGAAUACAAAUGGCAUUUACAUUUUGCACCUGGAAACACAUAUGAAUCAAUUAAGCAAUUUGACAGAAAAAGGGUUUCGGGGAGGGGCAAAAUUCUGGAUGAGGCUAUUCUUUUAGGUGUGGGUUGAAGAAAUGCUAAAAUUGUCGUAUUUGGAAGAUGAAUAAUACCCUGGUACGGUAUAUUUAUUUAUAUACAUUCAUCCAUUCAUAUGGAUGUGUUAUACUCAUGUUACAAAUGUGAUGUUUUGUUGAGAUUGUACUGGUGCACUCUGUCUAGGAAUGACAGAAUUUCUUAAACUCAAGAUAUCAAAGAUAGUUCAAAACCUAUUAAUAUUUAAUAUGUGUUAUUGAUGAGCCUUCUAUCAUACAAGACAAUUUAUGAAUGAAGAGGAAUGUUAUUUUUCUUAAUCUCCACUUGCAGCACAUUGGUCUUUUUUUGUAAAUACACAGUGUGUUGAUUGUCUAUGAAUGGUGAGAUCUGUGAU